RNAcentral lists this transfer RNA (86 nucleotides) under Echinostoma caproni. It matches the Rfam family "tRNA". From Rfam's summary of the family: Transfer RNA (tRNA) molecules are approximately 80 nucleotides in length. Their secondary structure includes four short double-helical elements and three loops (D, anti-codon, and T loops). Further hydrogen bonds mediate the characteristic L-shaped molecular structure. tRNAs have two regions of fundamental functional importance: the anti-codon, which is responsible for specific mRNA codon recognition, and the 3' end, to which the tRNAs corresponding amino acid is attached (by aminoacyl-tRNA synthetases). tRNAs cope with the degeneracy of the genetic code in two manners: having more than one tRNA (with a specific anti-codon) for a particular amino acid; and 'wobble' base-pairing, i.e. permitting non-standard base-pairing at the 3rd anti-codon position. Lineage: Eukaryota; Metazoa; Platyhelminthes; Trematoda; Plagiorchiida; Echinostomatidae. The record is from Rfam by way of RNAcentral.
GGCCUCGUAGCUCAGCUGGUGGGGAGUGUGUGCUGUACAAAAGCGUAGGCGGCGUCCAUGCGUGGGUUCGAAUCCCGCCGAGGUUA